AACGCGAAGAACCUUACCCAGGUUAGAAGUACAGAGGAAUGUUGCAGAGAUGUAACAGCCCGCAAGGGCCUCUGUAUAGGUGCUGCAUGGCUGUCGUCAGCUCGUGCCGUGAGGUGUUGGGUUAAGUCCCGCAACGAGCGCAACCCUUAUCAUUAGUUGCCAACGCGUAAUGGCGGGGACUCUAGUGAGACUGCCUAGGUUAACUAGGAGGAAGGUGAGGAUGACGUCAAGUCCGCAUGGCCUUUAUGUCUGGGGCUACACACGUGCUACAAUGGUCGGUACAGAAGGCAGCGAAACAGUGAUGUGGAGCAAAUCCCCAAAGCCGAUCUCAGUUCAGAUUGUAGUCUGCAACUCGACUACAUGAAGCUGGAAUUGCUAGUAAUGACGUGUCAGCAACAACGUCGUGAAUACGUUCCCGGGCCUUGUACACACCGGAGUA
This 439-nucleotide ribosomal RNA is filed under the name uncultured bacterium. RNAcentral's name for it is "bacterial SSU rRNA". It matches the Rfam family "Bacterial small subunit ribosomal RNA", at positions 958 to 1398 of the family's 1533-position model. The record is from RNAcentral.